This 74-nucleotide unclassified non-coding RNA is filed under the name Saccharomyces cerevisiae BY4741. RNAcentral's name for it is "ITS2 rRNA from Saccharomyces cerevisiae BY4741 (PDB 7UQZ, chain 6)". The record is from RNAcentral. Lineage: Eukaryota; Fungi; Ascomycota; Saccharomycetes; Saccharomycetales; Saccharomycetaceae.
CCUUCUCAAACAUUCUGUUUGGUAGUGAGUGAUACUCUUUGGAGUUAACUUGAAAUUGCUGGCCUUAAAGCGAA